Molecule: ribosomal RNA, 447 nt
Filed under: uncultured bacterium
Lineage: Bacteria
Description: SSU rRNA
Rfam family: Bacterial small subunit ribosomal RNA
Source: RNAcentral
AGAGCGAACGCUGGCGGCAGGCCUAACACAUGCAAGUCGAGCGGCCGUAGCAAUACGGCAGCGGCAGACGGGAGAGUAACACGUGGGAACGCGCCCUUCGGUUCGGAAUAACUCAGGGAAACUUGGGCUAAUACCGGAUACGCCCUUACGGGGAAAGAUUUAUUGCCGAAGGAACGGCCCGCGUCCGAUUAGCUUGUUGGUGAGGUAACGGCUCACCAAGGCGACGAUCGGUAGCUGGUCUGAGAGGAUGACCAGCCUCACUGGGACUGAGACACGGCCCAGACUCCUACGGGAGGCAGCAGUGGGGAAUAUUGGACAAUGGGCGCAAGCCUGAUCCAGCCAUGCCGCGUGGGUGAUGAAGGCCCUAGGGUUGUAAAGCCCUUUCGGCGGGGAAGAUAAUGACGGUACCCGCAGAAGAAGCCCGGCUAACUUCGUGCCAGCAGCCGC